RNAcentral lists this ribosomal RNA (253 nucleotides) under uncultured bacterium. RNAcentral's name for it is "partial 16S ribosomal RNA". It matches the Rfam family "Bacterial small subunit ribosomal RNA", at positions 524 to 776 of the family's 1533-position model. The record is from RNAcentral.
UACGGGGGGAGCAAGCGUUGUUCGGAUUUACUGGGCGUAAAGGGCGCGUAGGCGGCGCAACAAGUCACUUGUGAAAUCUCCGGGCUUAACCCGGAGCGGCCAAGUGAUACUGUCGUGCUAAAGUGCGGAAGGGGCUACUGGAAUUCUCGGUGUAGCGGUGAAAUGCGUAGAUAUCGAGAGGAACACCUGCGGCGAAGGCGGGUAGCUGGGCCGACACUGACGCUGAUGCGCGAAAGCCAGGGGAGCGAACGGG